This 253-nucleotide ribosomal RNA is filed under the name uncultured bacterium. Its description in RNAcentral is "partial 16S ribosomal RNA". It matches the Rfam family "Bacterial small subunit ribosomal RNA", at positions 524 to 776 of the family's 1533-position model. The record is from RNAcentral.
UACGUAGGGGGCAAGCGUUGUCCGGAAUCGUUGGGCGUAAAGCGCGUGUAGGCGGUUCAGUAAGUCUGCUGUGAAAGCCCACGGCUCAACCGUGGAGGGUCAUUGGAAACUGGGGGACUUGAGUGCAGAAGAGGAAAGCGGAAUUCCACGUGUAGCGGUGAAAUGCGUAGAGAUGUGGAGGAACACCAGUGGCGAAGGCGGCUUUCUGGUCUGUAACUGACGCUGAGGCGCGAAAGCGUGGGGAGCAAACAGG